GCCAGGCAUGGUGGCGAGUGCCUGUAAUCCCAGCUCCUUGGGAGGCUGAGGCAGGAGAAUCUCUUGAACCCAGGAGGUGGAGGUUGCAGUGAGCCAAGAUUGAGCCACUGCACUCCAGCCUGGGCAACAGAGCGAGACUCUGUCUCAA
RNAcentral lists this non-coding RNA (148 nucleotides) under Chlorocebus sabaeus (green monkey). The record is from Rfam by way of RNAcentral. Lineage: Eukaryota; Metazoa; Chordata; Mammalia; Primates; Cercopithecidae.